CACCGCGGUUAUACGAGAGGCCCAAGUUGACAGACAACGGCGUAAAGAGUGGUUAGGGAUAAUUUAAACUAAAGCCGAAUAUUUCCAGGACUGUUAUACGUUUCCGGAAGAACGAAGCCCAACUACGAAAGUGGCUUUAUAAAACCUGAACCCACGAAAGCUAAGAAA
Molecule: ribosomal RNA, 168 nt
Filed under: Remorina albescens (white suckerfish)
Lineage: Eukaryota; Metazoa; Chordata; Actinopteri; Carangiformes; Echeneidae
Description: partial 12S ribosomal RNA
Source: RNAcentral